RNAcentral lists this ribosomal RNA (253 nucleotides) under uncultured bacterium. Its description in RNAcentral is "partial 16S ribosomal RNA". It matches the Rfam family "Bacterial small subunit ribosomal RNA", at positions 524 to 776 of the family's 1533-position model. The record is from RNAcentral.
UACGUAGGGGGCUAGCGUUGUCCGGAAUCAUUGGGCGUAAAGAGCGUGUAGGCGGCCCGGUAAGUCCGCUGUGAAAGUCGGGGGCUCAACCCUCGAAUGCCGGUGGAUACUGUCGGGCUAGAGUGCGGAAGAGGCGAGUGGAAUUCCUGGUGUAGCGGUGAAAUGCGCAGAUAUCAGGAGGAAUACCAAUUGCGAAGGCAGCUCGCUGGGACGUAACUGACGCUGAGACGCGAAAGCGUGGGGAGCAAACAGG